Long non-coding RNA from Fukomys damarensis (Damara mole-rat), 4489 nucleotides. RefSeq lists it as uncharacterized. The record is from RefSeq and is a predicted model, not a curated record. The transcript is spliced from 7 exons. Lineage: Eukaryota; Metazoa; Chordata; Mammalia; Rodentia; Bathyergidae.
AGACAAGCCAUAGCAGUGUUAAGGGGGGUCAAACAGGUGACACGGGACGAGUGGCGGAAUGCUCUCGCACUGUUGUAGUGCAUCUGGCCCUUUGUUCACGAUGAAUCAGGAAGCCAUUGGCAUAUUUUGAGCUAGAGAGUGACAAGACCCUGCUAAUCUCUUUAAAUGUCACUGCUUCAACAAAGCCAAAGAGGGAGCAGAGAAAACAAUUUUGAGGCAGUUGCAAUAAUGUAGGCAAGAGAUGAAGUGGCAGCAGUGGGAAAAACGAGACUAUAAAAUGCCAGGUGAAGUCUGGAGGAGAUCAUCUAAGGAGUGAGUCUAAAGAGAAGACAUCCAGACACUCAGCCCCGAGGCACCAGCAAGAGGGGGAGACUUGUGCAAGAAACUGAGAAGGAGCAGCCAGUUUUUUGUGAAGAAAACCAACAGAAAGUGGUAACCUAGAAAGCACGCUAAGCAGGGUAGCCACAUAGUUCACUGGACAAGUGAGGUCACUCGAGAAUGCUAGCGGACACUGAUAUACCAGGAUGUCGUCGUGAGGCCCUCAGGACCACUGGGGGACUUUGAAGAAGAGCGCUCGGUGAGCCGUUUGCAGUCGACGCUCCUACACAGAGCCGGAAAAGAGCCGCGUGCUCGCAGAACACACUGUGGACCCUGCUGUCAAGGGAACACUGUUGAGGUUUGCUCUAGAAUGUUCCCCAAAACUCUCCUGAGCUCGGCGGCAUGGUUCUGGAGGGUGAUUAGAUCUGGGGGCCUUGUACUCAUCAAUGGUUUCACCCUGGGUGGGUUCAGCUGUCGAGGGUGCUGUUGGGACCCUGGGCGGUGUGACGUGGAAGGAUGCAUCUCCCUGCGCUGGGCCCCUCCCUUCUCUCUCCUUUCUGGUCGCCAUGAGGUGAGCAGCUUGCCUCCUCCGAGGCCCUUCCACCCCUUCCCCCACCUUGGAGCCAUUCAAACAUGGGCUGAGUCCUCUGAACAGGAGCCAGAAUACCCCUCUCUACCUUUAAGUUGGGGGUAUGGAGUAUUUUGUCCUAGCAACAAGGAAGUGACAGAGAGAGCCUCUCUUGGCUACCAUCUUGAAGAAAUCUGCAACUUUGCCCUUUGGGGAUGUUUUCCACUCUUUUCAUGAGGCCGGGACAGGAGCAGGACCGCAGAAGCCUUCUUUCAGCUGACAUGUAAAGCCUGUACUGAAAAAGUCUAAUGUUCCCAUCUGGCGAGGAAGAGGAAAGUGCGUGAAAAUGAAGUUGCGGUUACAUCAGUCCAAUACUAAUGAAGGUGAUACCCACUUGGCAUGGUAGAAAGGUUGCAGAGCAAGCCUCAGCGGAAGUGAUAGGCUGUGUCCUUGGGAACGUUGGAGCACACCUGGCAAAUUGGAAAGUUGGAGGGCUUGAGGAUCCUGAGCAGAAAUACUUUAGUUGACUGGAACUGGAUCUAAGGAAGAAGGAUAAGAGUUCAAGUUGGAGAGGAACAAUGGGCAGCUCCGAGAGGACUUUCCAUGGAAACUCCCAAAACAACAGUAGGGAGGCAUAUGACACGAACAAAUGACUUCAGAGCAGCAUAUUGUACCUCUCAUAUACCUGGCAUUCUGAAACACAAUAUUUACAUCGCACACAAUGUGUUCCUAGCAGUGCCUUGAAUGUACGGAAUACAAAGGAAGUGAAGCUUGUACUCUCCACUCUCAAGAAAAGGGUGGUCUUCUUAAGAGAGCCACACCGAGACAGCCAAAGAAGAUGCCUGACGAGAUAACUUAGUCGAGUUUGAACUUUGGAGAAGUUGCCUGGGUUUGGCCCAGGCCUGAAGCUGCAAAGCACCACUUUCCUCAUUUGAAAAGAAAGAUAUUACCAGGACCGACCUCGCUGGCUGGUUGUGGCAGUGAAUGGUGACUGGGUGGUAGUCGCAAUGUCGACGCCGUGCUAUCGCCAAGGUACUCUGCUCAUGUUUUGGAAUAACAAGCCAAGGUGAAGCAUCGCUUUGUGUACCACCGGGGACUUGGUGGGAGAGCCUGACAAAGCAGAAUAGUGAUGGCGAUGGAAGAAACAAUGAAGCUCUCAAGUGCUCAAACUAUGAAUGGGAUCUGAGUUGUAGAAAACACCUAGCCAGACCUUCUAGACGAUAAUAACACAGAUCAGCCAAGCUAAAAAGUAAAAGCAACAACAACGAAACAAAAGCAGACCUGAAGGCUGGCUGGCUAACUGGCUGGAAAUGUCAGUCCCAGGUUUCUUAUUGAGUCAGCACUUUUUUAUUUCUCCCGAAGCACCCUAAAAAGCCCACACCAGUCUGAUUGCCAGUGAGGUCAGAAUUGUGCAGAUGUUCCCGUCUUCCAGCUCAGAUAGCAGAGCUUCUGGAAAGACAUAAGAACUGAAAUUACCUCCACGUAGCAGAAUUCCCACUAGAUCCUCCUUUCCUACUCUCCACACUGCCCACCUCAAGACCAGCCUUGCUUCCCUGGUGCUUUUGGUGUACAGGAGAGAUGACAUGGGAAGCUGGCCCAGGUCCCGUGUGACAUGGCUGCUCUGUGCAGGGGACCAGGCGGGGCAGUCAGUCCAGGUGACACUGGAUCCUUUUCCCUGUGCACACGCCAAAGAGAGACCGUUCUAUUAGACAGGUACAGGACACAUUGGAGGAGACAAAGUACCAGCAGCAAGGAGACCAACCAUGGAACCAUUGCAGUAAGCCGAUGGCCAUGGCAGCAGUAGGAGGUAAAGAAGAAUGAGGAUGAUGGAAAUCAUAAUAAACUGAGUACCAUAAAGUGGCUAAGUGACCCACUAAGUUCGGAAUCUUUUGAAAAACUGAUGAAAGCCACAGCCCUUUAAGCUGCAAUAUACAGGCCGAGUUUUGCCUAGAGUUUCAGGUAGUUCCAUGGUCCCAGCCUAAGAAUUGCUAGUGUAGAGGGACCGUUUGUCAGAUUUGACUAAUAAGCAAGCAGAAAAAGAGGCAGAUGUCAACAUGAUGCCAACAUUUGAUCCUGAUGGUUUGGAGACAGGGAGGAUGCUGGGAGGGGUGUCUCACCUGCUUUGCUGGGUUUUGUCGCUGAGUCUCCAAGUGGAUGGAAGAGGAUCUUGACUUAGAGAACUGCUGCUCGGAGAUCACUGCUGUAGCUGUAAAAUCGGGUGAUCUUUCUGGGGAAGAGGAUACAGAGAGAAAAGCAGGGACCCAAGAUCUGAAGAGGUCUCCGGAGAGAUAGGAAGAGGGAGCACAGGGCUCAGUAGCCCAAAGAGGAAAUUGUCUAGGAGAAAGGUGGCCCAUAGUGGUCUUCAUUGGUACAGCAGAAAAACGAAGUGACGGGGCCAGGGAUUUAGCUCAAUGGUGCUGCCACCUGCCUCGCAAGUACAAGUCCCAAAUUUAAUCCCCAGUACCAAAAAAAGAAAAAGGAGGUGAUAGUGCCAGAGACAGCAUCCAGCAGAAACAAUAAAACUCAUGGAUUUUUCCAAAAUGGAAGGUGCCCAUAGUAAAUAAAACUCACAUAUCAAUAAUUGAAAACCGUGCAUAUCACAAUGCUUAAUAAAUAUAUUGUUUAUUAAGACGACUGAGAUUAUGGUGGACUGGGAGUUUCUUCUGCUGUGCAAUCUUUGAUGUAACGGGCAGUGGUGGUCAGGUUCAUGGGGCUUCAGGGGGCCCAUCUGUGGCCUUCUUUAGUAACACACCUCUGACGUGACCCUCCUGGUGACCCAGGCGAUCCGGAAUCGUUUUGUAAUGGUUCCUCCAGUGAUGCUCCCUAGCAGGGGUCCUUCAUUCAGCGCUCAGGCAGGGCCCAGCCCAACGUUUGCCCUUGGCCAUCACGGCCUGGAACGAGGGCCUUUGUGAGCCUGAGCAGGGCCAGACUCCUCAUCCCCCGCAGCAGAGAGCACCCACAGGCACCCCACCUUUGAAAUCGUCUUUGGCGACAGCAGCCUGUUCAUCAGACUGGAGAGUGUAUGGCAUCCUUUCCCAUCACUUUAAAGUGCUCUUUGUUGGUUUUUCCCAUGCUUUAAUCAUCUCCCAAUCAUCCUUUAGAAAGCUCAGAUUUCAGGAGAGAAAAAGGUUUUCUAGGGCUCUGUGCACAAGUCCCCUUUACUUUUUGGGCUGAGCGUUUCUCCCAAGGUCACUUUGUCAGCUCUAAGGGGACAUAGCCAGAUGGUGGUGCCCCUUCUUCCAGGGGUCCUGGCCCAAAGGCGUGUGGUCGCAGUGCAGGUUCCACACAACAACACGUGUGAAGUGAAAGCACCUGGCCGGUGGCUUGUGUCAUGGAGCUUUCUGAGAGGCCAAAGACAGCCACUGCCAUUCCAGAACAACUGUGUCACGUGUGCCCACGUGGACACGACCAUUUCCACGUCUAAUUUAUUCUCCCCCAUGCCCGCCAGAGAAGUGCCUGUGUCUGCCUUCGUUUAGCAGAUGAGGACUUCAGACUGGCAAGUUGGUGGCAUUCCCAAGGCCAGCUGUCUUCAGUUCUGAGCAGGGUGAGGAAUAAAGAGAUGGGAGAAUCAUAUCACAGAGAAGUAUGUGCACCCAUGUUUAU